UACGGGGGGUGCAAGCGUUAUUCGGAAUCAUUGGGCGUAAAGGGCGCGUAGGCGGUCGCUUAAGUCAGAUGUGAAAGCCCUCGGCUUAACCGAGGAAGUGCAUUUGAUACUAAGUGACUUGAGUAUGGGAGAGGGAAGCGGAAUUCCUGGUGUAGCGGUGAAAUGCGUAGAUAUCAGGAGGAACACCGGUGGCGAAGGCGGCUUCCUGGACCAAUACUGACGCUGAGGCGCGAAGGCGUGGGGAGCAAACAGG
Molecule: ribosomal RNA, 253 nt
Filed under: uncultured bacterium
Lineage: Bacteria
Description: partial 16S ribosomal RNA
Rfam family: Bacterial small subunit ribosomal RNA
Source: RNAcentral